GGAUGUGAGGGUGAUAUAGCUUCGACACCUGUCACUCCAUUCAUCUCCAGGGUUGACUGAAUUGAUCUGGCUGGUGAGGUGGGUCUCCCCUUCCUUCCUCAUCACUCCAUGGACUUCCUUCUCAUACUUAUUCACUUGGUUGAAGAGGACAAACUUUCCCAAAUAAAAGUGAACCAUCCCCCUUUCAAGGGUGAGUAGCUAUGCUCCCCUGCUAGAACCUCCAAACAAGCUACAUUGCCAAGAGAAGUUAAAAAAAAAAAAAAAACGGGCUGGAAGAGAUGGCUCAGCGGUUAAGAGUACUGACUGUUCUUCCAGAGGUCCUGAGUUCAAUUCCUGGCAACCACAUGGU
This is an unclassified non-coding RNA of Cricetulus griseus (Chinese hamster), 349 nucleotides long. Its record names the gene 7SK. It matches the Rfam family "7SK RNA". Rfam says of the family: 7SK was discovered as an abundant small nuclear RNA in the mid-70s but a possible function has only recently been suggested. Two independent studies have found that 7SK RNA binds the CDK9/cyclin T complex (known as elongation factor P-TEFb). P-TEFb activates transcription by phosphorylating the C-terminal domain of RNA polymerase II. The record is from Ensembl. Lineage: Eukaryota; Metazoa; Chordata; Mammalia; Rodentia; Cricetidae.